RNAcentral lists this ribosomal RNA (220 nucleotides) under uncultured bacterium. RNAcentral describes it as "partial 16S ribosomal RNA". It matches the Rfam family "Bacterial small subunit ribosomal RNA", at positions 112 to 334 of the family's 1533-position model. The record is from RNAcentral.
AAUGCAUAGGAAUCUGCCUAGUAGUGGGGGGACAACCUGGUGAAAACCAGGCUAAUACCGCAUACGACCUACGGGUGAAAGCAGGGGACCUUCGGGCCUUGCGCUAUUAGAUGAGCCUAUGUCUGAUUAGCUAGUUGGUAAGGUAAUGGCUUACCAAGGCGACGAUCAGUAGCUGGUCUGAGAGGAUGAUCAGCCACACUGGGACUGAGACACGGCCCAG